Molecule: non-coding RNA, 25 nt
Filed under: Rattus norvegicus (Norway rat)
Lineage: Eukaryota; Metazoa; Chordata; Mammalia; Rodentia; Muridae
Source: RNAcentral
GGCCUUGGCUGUGCUAGAGAGGGCA